GACAGAGGGUGCAAACGUUGUUCGGAAUUACUGGGCGUAAAGCGCGUGUAGGCGGCUGCGCAAGUCGGAUGUGAAAUCCCAUGGCUCAACCAUGGAAGUGCACCCGAAACUGCGUAGCUAGAGUCUCGGAGAGGAAGGCGGAAUGCUUGGUGUAGAGGUGAAAUUCGUAGAUAUCAAGCGGAACACCGGUGGCGAAGGCGGCCUUCUGGACGAUGACUGACGCUGAGGAGCGAAAGCCAGGGGAGCAAACGGG
Molecule: ribosomal RNA, 253 nt
Filed under: uncultured bacterium
Lineage: Bacteria
Description: partial 16S ribosomal RNA
Rfam family: Bacterial small subunit ribosomal RNA
Source: RNAcentral